Molecule: long non-coding RNA, 3142 nt
Organism: Amphiprion ocellaris (clown anemonefish)
Lineage: Eukaryota; Metazoa; Chordata; Actinopteri; Pomacentridae
Source: Ensembl
UGACGUCAGACGUCGGCGUACGUUGGGACGUUCAGUUUGAAUCGUUGUAGACGCCUCCAAGAAGCAGCUGCAGUUUUGGGAAAAAAGUGUUCAAAUAAGUCGCUGUUAUAGAGUUAUAUCCAUCAGGUCAACCGUCUGUAGUUAUUAUUGAAGUCACUGGUGGCGUAUGUGUCGUCACAGACACUUGUUUGUUCGACAAAUAUGAAACACAGAGGCAGAUAUCUGGUACUUCCGGGAAACGCUGGAGCCGCUGUGUUGGAGUUGGCAGUAGCAGCAUUGGCAAGAAGGAAACCUUGCAGACGAGCGCUGAGUGGACAUGAGGGCAGCUGAUCAGUGAAGCAGCAGCAGAUGAACAUCCAGGAGAUCAGAGCAUCUGAACAACAUGGCGUCAGGAUUUGCCUGGUGCAGCUGAUGCAGAGAGAAACUCUACAGUCAUUCAUGAGGAUGACAAACCUUCACAUGAGCACUGGAGGACAUUGCCAAAAAGACUGAAAAUUCAGAUUUCUGCACUGUGUCGUGGUGAAGGAGGCCCUGUGGGAACGUCUGCUGGCUGAGGACAUGGUACAGGGGACGUUUGGGUGCCACCCCACUUUGCCAGAAAUUUCUCAAGAACAAAAUAUACUGACAGCAAUGAGGCAUCCAAAAGCUGUGGCAUUUAGUGAGAUGGGGCUAGACUACUCUCACAAAAACUUCACUGAACCCUCCAAGCAAAAAGAGGUCCCUCUCUAUCUCCCCACACAUCCACCAACCACUGGAACACAUCUCCAAAGUUCUGCCGGGCCAGCUCAGCUUCCCCUCAGAAGAAGUGCCGCCACCUGCCAGAUGAAGGAGCCUUUUGAGAGGCAGCUGGCAUCGUGAUUGGACUGUACUUUGGUCUGUUCCAAUCCAGCUUCAGCUCCAGAGACGGCAGGCGGGACGAGUCAACGGAGGCCUGGUGGACGAAGGCAUGCAGCUGAGUACAAUCCAGAAAACAACAGAGGAGGAGUGCAGCAGCCCAGAGCCAGAACAGAGUAGCAUAGUAUAUCUCUUAGAAAACAUCAUAGUAUAGCCUUUGCUAUGAAAAAACACCAUCAUAUACAUUGUAUAUUGUACAAAUAACAAGUCAAAGGAAAGAGACAUACAUUGUAGAAUUGUAGUAAUUGUGGGCUGACUGAUUUACUGAUUAUCAGUAUUUUAUUUUUUACUGAUUUACGGUAAUAAAUACAUUAAAAAAAUGGCGCUACUUUGGCUCUGAACCUUAAUCUACCUGUGGUCGCUCUGUCUUCUGGAGUGAUUUGAUUGGUUAUACAUCGUGAAUAAAACUCCUUUAACUUAACAUCUGUAAACAAAACAAAAACAUAUCAACAAAGUUUUCUGUUAGAGUUUGUGUUCUUCUAAGUUUAACUCCAAGAUUUUAAAUACUUUCAUUUACUGUAAAUGAAUAUCCACUCCAAAUGUCUCACUAAUAAUCAUUAUCAGCCUUAAAAACCCACAAAACACCCCUCUAUACUCGACCACACUUAGUACAGUCCGGUUCCCCCUUCUAUAAAUCUGCUUGGAAUCUUCCACUUCCUGUUUGUCAAAGUGGCCUUCUACCUGGACAGGUUUUGUUGGAGCUCAUGCAGCAAACAUUUUGGGUAACUGCACUUUAAUAUGGAUGGAUGACACUGAAUUAGAGUCUGUUUUAAUGAGACUGAGUUAAGAUGUGUAGCUCUGUCAUUAAAUAGGAAAUUAUUUCUCAGAAUUUACAGAGAAAAGUCUGAAAUGUUUGCUAGGUUAGCGUCCCACAUGUUCUUUGGCUCAGCUAAAGCUAACUCUCUCCAACUUCUGGAUCUCUUGAGUUGCUUGUUGUUAAAAUAUCUUGCUAGAGGUGCUGAAGCUCAGAAAGUCUGAGAUGUUUGUUCAAAAUAAGCUCAUUCUCAAGUCUUAUCUGAACUGUCCUCUUUUGUUUGAACUUUCCCUAAACUUAGGAGUUAAUGACAGAGCAGCACAUCCAGACUCAGUCUCAUUUAUGUAGAGAUUAAACUUCAGUGUCAUUCAUUGAUGUUAAAGUGCAGUUUUUCAAAUGUUUGUUGCACAUGCUCCCGACCAAACCAGUCCAGGUGGAAGACGAUGUGAAGAGAAAGCUCCAAAGGAUGAAUAUCACACAUUUACGUUGGAAAUAAAUGUCCUUUAAUUAGACAUUGUCAUGGAAAAGUUGGAUUUCCCUUUAAUGAUGUUCAAAUCUUUGAGUGUUUUGUUGAUGUUGGUUUCUAAAUGUUUUCUGACACUCGGCCCCAAAGAUUAAAACCUUCUACGGCUCACAAGCUGCAACAAUUCACACAUUAUCAACUAUCUCUCUGACUAAACUAAGAUAAAAAGUGAAAAACUGCCUGAUUCCUGCAUCAUCAACAUUUUAUAAACCAAAACAAGAAAUGAAUUACUGGAGAAAACAAUCAACAGAUUAAUGGACAAAGAAAAUGUGUUUUCUAACAUAUAUGGCUGAAUUACUCCAACAUUACAAGAUACAUACAAUUUUAAUUCAAUUUUAUUCAUAUAACGCCAAUUACAGGUCAAAUUGUCUCAAGAUGCUUUAGUUCUAUAUUUUUUGUCAUAUUUAAAAUAUGACAAAGUAAGAAAUUAAAACCUCUUGACUAAUCCAAUUUAUUAUUUGUUUUUUAAGAGACUAAUGGACAAUUAAAAUAACUUUCUCCACUAAAACUAAUAAACGAGGUCAAAUAGAAGGAACAGUUUUAAAUACUGCAGUCCCACGACGACAAGAAUAAAGUUUCUCAACAAAAACUAAAUCUGCUGGUGGAUUCCAUUAAAGUCCUAAUGAAUGAUAAUAAAGUGUGAUACUAAAGGUUUGUGGUGCUAAAAAUCUCCAAGUAAAGAUAUCAAGUUGAACAUCUGGAUGGAGGGUGAUAAAAGUUGACCUCCCUUCAUUUCUCUGGAGCCGACUCCAUGGAUUUUAUGGAUGGUGGUUAAAGACCUGCUCUUAUAGUCAUCUUCCUUCUAGUCGCUGUAAAAAGUCAUUCCAUCCUGGCCGACUUCAACACCUCUUCAUGACAACUUGUUCUGCCUCCGACCUGGUGGAAACUCCAGAAACUCGAGAAAACCCGUGGAGACUCGAAGAACUCGUGGAGACUCGAAGAACUCGUCGGGCGGGGGAAGGUGUGGUGGG